This 468-nucleotide ribosomal RNA is filed under the name uncultured bacterium. RNAcentral describes it as "partial 16S ribosomal RNA". It matches the Rfam family "Bacterial small subunit ribosomal RNA", at positions 28 to 507 of the family's 1533-position model. The record is from RNAcentral.
GACGAACGCUGGCGGCGUGCUUAAUACAUGCAAGUCGAACGGAAAGGCCCUGCUUUUGUGGCUUGCUCGAGUGGCGAACGGGUGAGUAACACGCGAGUAACCUGCCCUUGUCUUUGGGAUAACUUCAGGAAACUGGGGCUAAUACCGGAUAGGAGCUCUUGCUGCAUGGUGGGGGUUGGAAAGUUUCGGCGGUUGGGGAUGGUCUCGCGGCUUAUCAGCUUGUUGGUCGGGUAGUGGCUUACCACGGCUUUGACGGAUAGCCGGCCUGAGAGGGGGACCGGCGUCAAGGCGCCUACGAGACGCCGCAGACGGGUACGGGCGGCAGAGGUGGAAAAUCUGACACAACGGGCGCGAGCGAGAGGCAGCGGCGCCGGGUGCGGAAUACCGGCCUACGAGGUGUAAACCGCUUUCGCCUGAGAUGAGGCGGGCGUGACGGUAAUGAGUAAGAAAGCACCGGCUAACUACGUG